Molecule: long non-coding RNA, 273 nt
Organism: Lampris incognitus (smalleye Pacific opah)
Lineage: Eukaryota; Metazoa; Chordata; Actinopteri; Lampriformes; Lampridae
Exons: 3
Source: RefSeq, a predicted model, not a curated record
CGGGAUUUACCUCUCGGCGUGACAGCAAGAAUUCAGCCCUUCAGCGAGGAUGUAGGUCAUCCAGGGGGGCCUUGCAUUUGAAGGAGUGGAUGCAAAUUAAGCACAAGGAAACCAGAUGGGAAUGGAACCCAAAACCUGAGCACUUGCACCACUCCACUUUAUCCAUUCAGCACAGUGCGCCCACCAACAAUCCCUCCCAUCAUCUGCCACUUCUCCGCGGUUGGGUCACAGUGACAGCAAGCUAAGUAGGGCACUCCAGACGUCCCUCUUCCC